Molecule: transfer RNA, 75 nt
Filed under: Bartonella bacilliformis
Lineage: Bacteria; Pseudomonadati; Pseudomonadota; Alphaproteobacteria; Hyphomicrobiales; Bartonellaceae
Also listed under: 49 other names
Description: tRNA-Asn
Rfam family: tRNA
About the family: Transfer RNA (tRNA) molecules are approximately 80 nucleotides in length. Their secondary structure includes four short double-helical elements and three loops (D, anti-codon, and T loops).
Source: RNAcentral
UCCUCGGUAGCUCAGCGGUAGAGCAACCGGCUGUUAACCGGUUGGUCGCUGGUUCGAAUCCGGCCCGGGGAGCCA